Molecule: transfer RNA, 69 nt
Filed under: Sphaerodactylus townsendi
Lineage: Eukaryota; Metazoa; Chordata; Lepidosauria; Squamata; Sphaerodactylidae
Description: tRNA-Ala
Source: RNAcentral
GCUGUAGCUCAAUGUUAGAGCUUCUGUGUAGCAUGGAGAAGGUCCUAGGUUCGAUCCCUGUCAUCUCCU